This 353-nucleotide unclassified non-coding RNA is filed under the name Hevea brasiliensis (rubber tree). Lineage: Eukaryota; Viridiplantae; Streptophyta; Magnoliopsida; Malpighiales; Euphorbiaceae. The record is from RNAcentral.
CCAAAUUUCAUUAUUUUAUAUAUAGUGACUCUUCCUAUACAUUUCUUCUUCAAGAAAAAAAAAAUAUCUUCUUUUUUUCUCCAUUUUAUCUCUUUUGCUUUACUCUUUGAUCUUCUCCGUCGUUGUACCACCACUACGCCACCAUGGUUCUGUCCAAGAUAGCAUCGGAAAGUGACGUGUCCGUUCACUCGACUUUCGCGUCUCGAUAUGUUCGAACUUCUCUCCCAAGGUUUAAGAUGCCAGAAAAUUCAAUACCAAAGGAAGCAGCCUAUCAAAUUAUAAAUGAUGAACUUAUGUUAGAUGGAAAUCCAAGGUUGAAUUUGGCAUCUUUUGUGACAACAUGGAUGGAACCA